This 420-nucleotide ribosomal RNA is filed under the name uncultured bacterium. RNAcentral's name for it is "bacterial SSU rRNA". It matches the Rfam family "Bacterial small subunit ribosomal RNA", at positions 356 to 774 of the family's 1533-position model. The record is from RNAcentral.
GGGGAAUAUUGCACAAUGGGCGGAAGCCUGAUGCAGCAACGCCGCGUGCGGGAUGACGGCCUUCGGGAUGUAAACUCAUGAAGCUAACGAAUAAGACGGAAGGGGAACCUUCCGGGAGAAGGUAAUUAGUGAAAAGCCCCGGCUAACUACGUGCCAGCAGCCGCGGUAAUACGUAGGGGGCGAGCGUUGCCCGGAAUUACUGGGCGUAAAGGGAACGUAGGUGGCUCUUAAAGUCAGGUGUGAAAAUAACGAAGCUUAACAGGUUAAUGCGCUUGAAACUAAAGGGCUUGAGGGCAAUAGAGGGAGAUGGAAUUACCUGUGUAGGGGUGAAAUCCGCAGAUAUAGGUAAGAAGGCCGGUGGGGAAGCCGAUCUCCUGGGUUGACUCUGACACUGAGGUUCGAAAGCUAGGGGAGCAAACC